AAAAAAUUAUGAGAAUUAAAAUUAAAGGUAAUGUCCACCGUUUAGUGUGUGGAUGAGGCAUGGCGUUGAUGGGAGAGAAAUUUCGAGUGUGUGUAACUGGAGCAGGUGGAUACGUGGCUUCAUCGCUAGUGAAGCUUCUCCUUUCUAAAGACUACAUAGUUCAUGGCACCGUCAGAGAUCCUUCUGAUGACAAGUAUGCUCAUUUGAAUAACCUUGAUAAAGCUGCUGACAACCUUAAGCUAUUCAAGGCAGACUUGCUAGAUCCCAACUCACUUGCUGGAGCCAUCAAAGGAUGCGAUGGGGUAUUUCAUGUUGCUAGUCCUGUUCCUUCCGGCUCUGUACCAAAUCCCGAGGUAGAACUUGUUGAGCCUGCUGUGAACGGCACACUUAAUGUUCUCAAGGCAUGCUAUGAAGAAAACAUCAAGAGAGUUGUGUUUGUGUCUUCUGUUGCUGCUUCUGCCUUGGACCCCAACUGGCCAAAAGGCCAAGUGAAGGACGAGACUUGUUGGUCGGAUGGUGAAUUCUGCAAAGCAACUGAUAACUGGUACUGUUUUUCUAAAACGGUGGCUGAGAAAGAAGCUUGGUCAUAUGCAAAGCAAAGUGGACUUGAUUUGGUAACUGUGCUCCCAACACUUGUUAUAGGGCCAAUGUUGCAGAAGACAAAAAACUCAAGUAGUUUGGUACUCAUUAAGCUGCUGAAAGAAGGAUACGAAGAGCUGGAAAACAAGAAACGGUUUUUGGUAGACGUACGUGAUUUAGCUGAUGCUUUACUGCUAGUCUAUGAGAGACCUGAAGCUGAAGGUAGAUACUUGUGCAUGGCUCAUGCAGUGAAAUCAGAAGAUUUAGUUGCCAUGCUAAAGAAACAAUAUCCCAACUACAACUAUCCUAAACGUUUUACUGAUGUGACGGAGGAUGGUGGUUUUAGUUCAGAGAAGCUGCAGAAGUUGGGUUGGCAAUAUAGGGCACUGGAGGAAACUCUAGUUGAUGCAGUUGAAAGUUACAAACAAAAGGGCUUUCUUGAUUGAAGAAAAGACCCUUUUUUUUCUUGUUGUCGUACUAAAUAAUUGCUCUGUAUGUUUUUCAAGUUUUCACACUUGCAAACUAGUCUGGAAUAAGGAGGUUACACUAUGGUACCUUUUGAGUUCUAUUUAGUUGUUUUGUUUUGCUCUCAGUUGAGGUACAGAUUAACUCAACUUAUU
RNAcentral lists this unclassified non-coding RNA (1199 nucleotides) under Hevea brasiliensis (rubber tree). The record is from RNAcentral. Lineage: Eukaryota; Viridiplantae; Streptophyta; Magnoliopsida; Malpighiales; Euphorbiaceae.